UUUCCGGUUGAUCCUGCCGGAGGCCACUGCUAUCGGGGUUCGAUUAAGCCAUGCGAGUCGAGAGGGUUCGGCCCUCGGCGUACUGCUCAGUAACACGUGGAUAACCUGCCCUAAGGAAGGGGAUACCCCCGGGAAACUGGGGAUAAUACCCUAUAGGUUACAGAUGCUGGAAUGCUCUGUACCCGAAAGUUCCGGCGCCUUAGGAUGGAUCUGCGGCCGAUUAGGUUGUUGUCGGGGUAACGGCCCAACAAGCCAGUAAUCGGUACGGGUUGUGGGAGCAAGAGCCCGGAGUUGGAUUCUGAGACACGAAUCCAGGCCCUACGGGGCGCAGCAGGCGCGAAAACUUUACAAUGCGGGCAACCGUGAUAAGGGAACCUCGAGUGCCUGUAUAUGCAGGCUGUCUGGGUGUCUAAAACACACCUAAAGAAAGGGCCGGGCAAGACCGGUGCCAGCCGCCGCGGUAAUACCGGCGGCUCGAGUGGUGGCCACUUUUAUUGGGCUUAAAGCGUUCGUAGCUGGGUUAUUAAGUCCCUUGGGAAAUCCGACGGCUUAACCGUCGGGCGUCUAAGGGAUACUGGCAAUCUUGGAACCGGGAGAGGUGAGGGGUACUUCGGGGGUAGGAGUGAAAUCCUGUAAUCCUCGAGGGACCACCUGUGGCGAAGGCGCCUCACCAGAACGGCUUCGACAGUGAGGGACGAAAGCUGGGGGAGCAAACCGGAUUAGAUACCCGGGUAGUCCCAGCCGUAAACGAUGUGCGUUAGGUGUAUCGGUGACCACGAGUCACCGAGGUGCCGAAGGGAAACCGUGAAACGUACCGCCUGGGAAGUACGGUCGCAAGGCUGAAACUUAAAGGAAUUGGCGGGGGAGCAC
This 870-nucleotide ribosomal RNA is filed under the name uncultured archaeon. RNAcentral's name for it is "bacterial SSU rRNA". It matches the Rfam family "Archaeal small subunit ribosomal RNA", at positions 1 to 879 of the family's 1478-position model. The record is from RNAcentral.